Long non-coding RNA from Oncorhynchus tshawytscha (Chinook salmon), 1368 nucleotides. NCBI's taxonomy places the organism in Eukaryota, Metazoa, Chordata, Actinopteri, Salmoniformes, Salmonidae. The record is from Ensembl.
GUGUCAUUUGACCAGAGCCAAUCGGGAAUAGGGUGACAUUUGACCAGAGCCAAUAGGGAAUAGGGUGUCAUUUGACCAGAGCCAAUAGGGAAUAGGGUGUCAUUUGACCAGAGCCAAUAGGGAAUAGGGUGUCAUUUGACCAGAGCCAAUAGGGAAUAGGGUGUCAUUUGACCAGAGCCAAUAGGGAAUAGGGUGCCAUUUGACCAGAGCCAAUAGGGAACAGUGUGUCAUUUGACCAGAGUCAAUAGGGAACAGGGUGUCAUUUGACCAGAGCCAAUAGGGAAUAGGGUGCCAUUUGACCAGAGCCAAUAGGGAAUAGGGUGCCAUUUGACCAGAGCCAAUAGGGAACAGGGUGUCAUUUGACCAGAGCCAAUAGGGAACAGGGUGUCAUUUGACCAGAGUCAAUAGGGAAUAGGGUGUCAUUUGACCAGAGUCAAUAGGGAAUAGGGUGUCAUUUGACCAGAGCCAAUAGGGAAUAGGGUGUCAUUUGACCAGAGCCAAUAGGGAAUAGGGUACCAUUUGGGACUCAAACACGAAGUUCUCUGAUCAAUUUUGUUAUAUUUUUUAAUGUAUCCUAUAUUUAGCUUUGGAGUAAACUUCUAGAAUGGUUUGGAAGUUAUGGCAGCUAGGUUGGUCUCCAUUGAGGUUUAGGGCAAAAUGAAGCCCUACUUGUCGAGGGCAAAGCUUUGGCAGGAUGACAACACUCCGCUAGGUUUAGGUUGCCAUGGCACGGUAGGGUUGCCAUGGGUGAGCAGAGAGCUGACAUCUCAGGGUUCAUCUUCCGGAUGAAAUCUGACCUCAAAGGUUUAUUGUAAAGAUCUAGAAUCAGAUGUCUCUCACUUCAGCCCUAACCUUAACCAUUACUAGCAUGAACCAAUGCUGACCCUGUAUCAGAGCUUAACUAGUGAAUACAAUACAUAGUGGUUACCAACAUUACCCAACAUUACCUCUGGCCCUCCACAAGCCUCCUCUCAUCUCCUCUCAUCUCCUCUCAGCUCCUCUCAGCUCCUCUCAAGCCCAACAUUACCUCUGGCCCUCCACAAGCCUCCUCUCAGCUCCUCUCAGCUCCUCUCAAGCCCAACAUUACCUCUGGCCCUCCACAAGCCUCCUCUCAGCUCCUCUCAGCUCCUCUCAAGCCCGACAUUACCUCUGGCCCUCCACAAGCCUCCUCUCAGCUCCUCUCAGCUCCUCUCAAGCCCGACAUUACCUCUGGCCCUUCACAAGCCUCCUCUCAGCUCCUCUCAAGCCCAACAUUACCUCUGGCCCUCCACAAGCCUCCUCUCAGCUCCAACAUUACCUCUGGCCCUCCACAAGCCUCCUCUCAGCUCCAACAUUACCUCUGGCCCUCCACAAGCCUCCUCUCAGCUC